RNAcentral lists this ribosomal RNA (365 nucleotides) under uncultured bacterium. Its description in RNAcentral is "bacterial SSU rRNA". It matches the Rfam family "Bacterial small subunit ribosomal RNA", at positions 527 to 896 of the family's 1533-position model. The record is from RNAcentral.
GGAGGAUCCAAGCGUUAUCCGGAAUCAUUGGGUUUAAAGGGUCCGUAGGCGGGUUUAUAAGUCAGUGGUGAAAGCCCAUCGCUCAACGAUGGAACGGCCAUUGAUACUGUAGAUCUUGAAUUAUUAGGAAGUAACUAGAAUAUGUAGUGUAGCGGUGAAAUGCUUAGAGAUUACAUGGAAUACCAAUUGCGAAGGCAGGUUACUACUAAUGGAUUGACGCUGAUGGACGAAAGCGUGGGUAGCGAACAGGAUUAGAUACCCUGGUAGUCCACGCCGUAAACGAUGGAUACUAGCUGUUCGGAGCAAUCUGAGUGGCUAAGCGAAAGUGAUAAGUAUCCCACCUGGGGAGUACGUUCGCAAGAAGG